AUUUCGACGCUUGACAACCUGUCAACGACUCCGAUCCUCACAUUAAAUUAACUGUUACGAUAAAACUCCAUCUGUCAUUACACCACUUUAGAUUGUUAUCAGCAUCGGAAGCGUAUGAAUAUGUGUCUGUAAUACACCUGUAUUACACCAAGAUACUUCGGCUAAUUAUAACACGGAACACCUACCGUUGAGGUGAGUUUCGGGCCACACGUAACUUCGGCAAACACCACAUUGAUUCAACAGUCCGUCAGUCUCACUCAAUAAUCAACGAAAUUUCCACAACAGCUCCCGCUUCACAUGGUUUAAACCGCAGAGGACUCUCAUAUCAUCUCCGAAGUCCACUUUCAGGAGGUCCACGUCGAGUUGUAUUUCCACGGUUAUCUGUUAAACAAGCGCCUAAUAAUCUCAAGUCAGUCCUCGCGCGCGACUUUCUGGAAGAUUGACAUGCAAGUGGUGAACAACCAGAGCAAUAAUACACCUCUGACACAGCGUGUAUGAGCCUGAACUCCACUUUUUCAGCUGCCAAGCCGAGCUGUAAACGAGAGACGCUUAAUAUGAAAGAAAAGUUGAAAUGUUUCGUUUAGUGGAUGCAGAAAUUCCCGCGGCGAGGUCUGAGUGCUGAAGUCGUGCGGUAAGGUAUCUUCAUGAAAGGCGGUGAGGGGGACAACACAGCCAGUGGGAGUGAAAGAGGGCUGGUUUAGUAGAAGAGGAAUGGACAGAGUGAAAGAAGACAUUAUGGUGGAGGAAAAAAAGGACGAGGACCAUCUGCUAGCGGGCUUCCAAGAUGUUGGCACAGACAAGUUUGUGUCUAUAAACAUCAAAUGCAACAAGAAGCUUGUGCUCCAGACUUGAAGACGCAGACCGAUUGCUGAAGCUGUUUA
Molecule: long non-coding RNA, 881 nt
Filed under: Danio rerio (zebrafish)
Lineage: Eukaryota; Metazoa; Chordata; Actinopteri; Cypriniformes; Danionidae
Description: lncRNA linc-ntf4/5 (ENSDARG00000097575.2)
Source: RNAcentral